ACGUAGGGUGCAAGCGUUAAUCGGAAUUACUGGGCGUAAAGCGUGCGCAGGCGGCUUUGCAAGACAGAUGUGAAAUCCCCGGGCUUAACCUGGGAACUGCAUUUGUGACUGCAUGGCUGGAGUGCGGCAGAGGGGGAUGGAAUUCCGCGUGUAGCAGUGAAAUGCGUAGAGAUCGGGAGGAACAUCCGUGGCGAAGGCGGCCAUCUGGACCAGCACUGACACUGAGGCACGAAAGCGUGGGGAGCAAACAGGA
This 253-nucleotide ribosomal RNA is filed under the name uncultured prokaryote. RNAcentral's name for it is "partial 16S ribosomal RNA". It matches the Rfam family "Bacterial small subunit ribosomal RNA", at positions 525 to 777 of the family's 1533-position model. The record is from RNAcentral.